Long non-coding RNA from Cygnus olor (mute swan), 572 nucleotides. RefSeq lists it as uncharacterized. The record is from RefSeq and is a predicted model, not a curated record. NCBI's taxonomy places the organism in Eukaryota, Metazoa, Chordata, Aves, Anseriformes, Anatidae. The transcript has 3 exons.
ACACACAACUUCUCCAAUCAUAAAAUACGCUCCUUCCAUAUUGAUUGUGCUUUGCAACUAGAUGCAUGUGCUAGGCUUCACUCUGCAAGGUGUUUAAAAAGAAAAACAGGUUUACCCAGGGAUUUUAUCAUGUAUGGAAAAAUGUAAUACUAAGUAGGCUGUCUGCCUAAUGUCUGGCAUAAUGUUUCUUCAUAAUGGUUAACCCUUUUGCAGGGAGUGGAAUAAGAGUGCCUCUCUCUCUAGAUGGGAACUUUGCUUCAGGGGACAUUACAAAUCUGUGGCCCCUGGAGAGACAAGCAAGAUGUCAGACAAGCAUGUCUGGUCAGUUUUGCACCAUGGUAUACAGUUUCUCCCACUAAAGGAUUCGUAUCUGCGGUAAAUGUUCAACGGCAAAACUGCUGGGACUACGGAAGUGGCAUUUAGCUGGAAGAAAUGAAAUGCUGAGUAUGCAAAUGGACCAUGGAUGCUGAUUUGUUUGAGCCUUGCAUGAAACAUGCCUAUAAGAAAUACUGUGCAGACUCGUGGAUGACCCAGAAUGUAAAAUUUUUUCAUUUGUGUAAGUUAAAAUGUUA